UAACAAGGAUUCCCCUAGUAACUGCGAGUGAAGCGGGAAAAGCUCAAAUUUAAAAUCUGGCAGUCUCUGGCUGUCCGAGUUGUAAUCUAGAGAAGUAAUGCCCGUGCUGGACCGUGUAUAAGUCUCCUGGGAUGGGGCGUCAUAGAGGGUGAGAAUCCCGUCUUUGACACGGACURCCAGUGCAUUGUGGUAUGCUCUCAAAGAGUCGAGUUGUUUGGGAAUGCAGCUCAAAAUGGGUGGUAAAUUCCAUCUAAAGCUAAAUAUUGGCGAGAGACCGAUAGCGAACAAGUACCGUGAGGGAAAGAUGAAAAGAACUUUGGAAAGAGAGUUAAACAGUACGUGAAAUUGCUGAAAGGGAAACGCUUGAAGUCAGUCGCGUUGGCCGGGGAUCAGCCUUGCUUUUGCAUGGUGUAUUUUCUGGUUGACGGGUCAGCAUCAAUUUUGACCACUGGAAAAGGCUCAAGGGAAUGUGGCAGCUUCGGCUGUGUUAUAGCCCCUGUUCACAUACAGUGGUUGGGAUUGAGGAACUCAGCACGCCGCAAGGCCGGGUUUCGACCACGUUCGUGCUUAGGAUGCUGGCAUAAUGGCUUUAAGCGACCCGUCUUGAAACACGGACCAAGGAGUCUAACAUGCCUGCGAGUAUUUGGGUGGAAAACCCAAGUGCGCAAUGAAAGUGAAAGUUGAGAUCCCUGUCGUGGGGAGCAUCGACGCCCGGACCAGAACUUUUGGGACGGAUCCGCGGUGGAGCAUGUAUGUUGGGACCCGAAAGAUGGUGAACUAUGCCUGAAUAGGGUGAAGCCAGAGGAAACUCUGGUGGAGGCUCGUAGCGAUUCUGACGUGCAAAUCGAUCGUCAAAUUUGGGUAUAGG
Molecule: ribosomal RNA, 868 nt
Filed under: Agaricus beijingensis
Lineage: Eukaryota; Fungi; Basidiomycota; Agaricomycetes; Agaricales; Agaricaceae
Description: Agaricus sp. ZLL-2019a partial large subunit ribosomal RNA
Source: RNAcentral